Molecule: ribosomal RNA, 612 nt
Filed under: uncultured bacterium
Lineage: Bacteria
Description: bacterial SSU rRNA
Rfam family: Bacterial small subunit ribosomal RNA
Source: RNAcentral
CCUACGGGAGGCAGCAGUAAGGAAUAUUGGUCAAUGGAGGCAACUCUGAACCAGCCAUGCCGCGUGCAGGAUGACGGCCCUAUGGGUUGUAAACUGCUUUUAUACAAGAGAAAACCCUGGUACGUGUACCAGGUUGAUGGUAUUGUAAGAAUAAGCAUCGGCUAACUUCGUGCCAGCAGCCGCGGUAAGACGAAGGAUGCAAGCGUUAUCCGGAUUCAUUGGGUUUAAAGGGUGCGUAGGCGGACUGAUAAGUCAGUGGUGAAAUCUCUUUGCUUAACAAAGAAACUGCCAUUGAUACUGUCGGUCUAGAGUAUAGAUGACGUUGGCGGAAUAUGACAUGUAGUGGUGAAAUACUUAGAUAUGUCAUAGAACACCGAUUGCGAAGGCAGCUAACGAAACUAUAACUGACGCUGAGGCACGAAAGUGCGGGGAUCAAACAGGAUUAGAUACCCUGGUAGUCCGCACCGUAAACGAUGAUUACUCGUUGUUGGCGAUAUGACAGUCAGCGACCAAGCGAAAGCGAUAAGAAUCCACCUGGGGAGUACGCCGGCAACGGUGAAACUUAAAGGAAUUGACGGCUGAGACGNGCGACGGACGACGACGAGGGAGAGG